ACGGGUGAGUAACACGUAAGGAACCUGCCUCAAGGAUUGGGAUAACUCCGAGAAAUCGGAGCUAAUACCGGAUAGUUCAACGGACCGCAUGGUCCGCUGAUGAAAGGCGCUCCGGCGUCACCUUGAGAUGGCCUUGCGGUGCAUUAGCUAGUUGGUGGGGUAACGGCCCACCAAGGCGACGAUGCAUAGCCGACCUGAGAGGGUGAUCGGCCACACUGGGACUGAGACACGGCCCAGACUCCUACGGGAGGCAGCAGUAGGGAAUCUUCCACAAUGGACGAAAGUCUGAUGGAGCAACGCCGCGUGAGUGAUGAAGGUUUUCGGAUCGUAAAACUCUGUUGUAAGGGAAGAACACGUACGAGAGGAAAUGCUCGUACCUUGACGGUACCUUGCGAGAAAGCCACGGCUAACUACGUGCCAGCAGCCGCGGUAAUACGUAGGUGGCAAGCGUUGUCCGGAAUUAUUGGGCGUAAAGCGCGCGCAGGCGGCCUUUUAAGUCUGAUGUGAAAGCCCCCGGCUCAACCGGGGAGGGCCAUUGGAAACUGGAAGGCUUGAGUACAGAAGAGAAG
Molecule: ribosomal RNA, 569 nt
Filed under: uncultured bacterium
Lineage: Bacteria
Description: bacterial SSU rRNA
Rfam family: Bacterial small subunit ribosomal RNA
Source: RNAcentral